RNAcentral lists this ribosomal RNA (515 nucleotides) under uncultured bacterium. Its description in RNAcentral is "partial 16S ribosomal RNA". It matches the Rfam family "Bacterial small subunit ribosomal RNA", at positions 28 to 523 of the family's 1533-position model. The record is from RNAcentral.
GAUGAACGCUGGCGGCGUGCCUAAUACAUGCAAGUCGAGCGAAUGGAUUAAGAGCUUGCUCUUAUGAAGUUAGCGGCGGACGGGUGAGUAACACGUGAGUAACCUGCCCAUAAGACUGGGAUAACUCCGGGAAACCGGGGCUAAUACCGGAUAACAUUUUGAACCGCAUGGUUCGAAAUUGAAAGGCGGCUUCGGCUGUCACUUAUGGAUGGACCCGCGUCGCACUAGCUAGUUGGUGAGGUAACGGCUCACCAAGGCAACGAUGCGUAGCCGACCUGAGAGGGUGAUCGGCCACACUGGGACUGAGACACGGCCCAGACUCCUACGGGAGGCAGCAGUAGGGAAUCUUCCGCAAUGGACGAAAGUCUGACGGAGCAACGCCGCGUGAGUGAUGAAGGCUUUCGUGUCGUAAAACUCUGUUGUUAGGGAAGAACAAGUGCUAGUUGAAUAAGCUGGCACCUUGACGGUACCUAACCAGAAAGCCACGGCUAACUACGUGCCAGCAGCCGCAGUAA